Molecule: non-coding RNA, 29 nt
Filed under: Mus musculus (house mouse)
Lineage: Eukaryota; Metazoa; Chordata; Mammalia; Rodentia; Muridae
Source: RNAcentral
UGAGAAGGUGAGAUCAAUUCAGCAAUUGA